Long non-coding RNA from Oxyura jamaicensis (ruddy duck), 570 nucleotides. RefSeq lists it as uncharacterized. The record is from RefSeq and is a predicted model, not a curated record. The transcript has 3 exons. NCBI's taxonomy places the organism in Eukaryota, Metazoa, Chordata, Aves, Anseriformes, Anatidae.
AAUCCGUCGACAUGAACAGAACCACAUAACUGAAGCUGCCGGGCUGCAUUUCCCUGCUCCCUCUUUCUGCUGCAGUAUCUUACUGUUAAUUAUUGCUAUGAACCGCAGCUGGCUGGUGGGAGCACCAGGCAAGAACGCUUUCCCCUGGAACUAAACUUCAGGAAAAGAAAAAAUUCUGAAUAUGCAUUGCAUCAGGAUUAAAGACAAAUUUUGAAGUUUGCUUCCAGGGAAAAUGCUGGUGCAUUGAAAGCCUGUUAAUGUACAGGGGAAGGAGUGCCAAAGGACGAGAGCACUCCACAAAUACAGCUGCGAUUCCAUGAAGUCAGAGCAAGCAGCUCCUUGCCCACAAGAUGAGGAAUCGCCGGUGAACUCUCCAUCCUGUUGCACUCAGCAGAAAGUUUGCUGCUGAUUUCAAGCGAGCGAGAUUUUUACCCUGCAGGAAAUCAAGCGUGCAAACAGAUCACCGCCCAGCUCUUCAGCAGUCCUCAGUCCACACGACCUGGGGAACCAAGGGGCCAGCACUGGGAGCUGCGUACAAAGAGCACGCCAAAGAAUUACAGUGAUGAAGGU